UUGAAACCCACUACAGUGCUCCACCAUCGUUUGUACAAACAAAGCUUUAUUUACUACCAUCACCAGUUCUACCAGCACUACUGGUCGACGGCGUUUGGACCCGAGCAGUAAUUAACCACCGGAUUCCACAGCCACUGAAUCAAAAACCUCCUCCCACCAACACCGUUGACGUUGUAGGCUCCACCACCGUCCCUCAACAACUCGCCCG
Molecule: unclassified non-coding RNA, 208 nt
Filed under: Hevea brasiliensis (rubber tree)
Lineage: Eukaryota; Viridiplantae; Streptophyta; Magnoliopsida; Malpighiales; Euphorbiaceae
Source: RNAcentral